Molecule: ribosomal RNA, 420 nt
Filed under: uncultured cyanobacterium
Lineage: Bacteria; Bacillati; Cyanobacteriota
Description: bacterial SSU rRNA
Rfam family: Bacterial small subunit ribosomal RNA
Source: RNAcentral
CGAAAGCCUGACGGAGCAAUACCGCGUGAGGGAGGAAUGCCUUUGGGUUGUAAACCUCUUUUCUCAGGGAAGAAGAUCUGACGGUACCUGAGGAAUAAGUAUCGGCUAACUCCGUGCCAGCAGCCGCGGUAAUACGGAGGAUGCAAGCGUUAUCCGGAAUCAUUGGGCGUAAAGCGUCCGCAGGUGGUUUCCAAAGUCUGCUGUUAAAGACUGGAGCUCAACUCCGGAACGGCGGUGGAAACUUGGAAACUAGAGUUCGGUAGGGGUAGCAGGAAUUCCCAGUGUAGCGGUGAAAUGCGUAGAUAUUGGGAAGAACAUCGGUGGCGAAGGCGUGCUACUGGACCGCAACUGACACUCAGGGACGAAAGCUUGGGUAGCGAAAGGGAUUAGAUACCCCUGUAGUCCUAGCCGUAAACGAUG